GGCCCUAACUAUAACUCUGGUCUAGUUUUAUCCUCCCUAUAGGCCCUAACUAUAACUCUGGUCCUGGUCUAGUUAUAUCCUCCCUAUAGGCCCUAACUAUAACUCUGGUCCUGGACUAGUUAUAUUCUCCCUAUUGGCCCUAACUAUAACUCUGGUCCUGGUCUAGUUAUAUUCUCCCUGUAGACCCUAACUAUAACUCUUGUCUAGUUAUAGUCUCCCUAUAGGCCCUAACUAUAACUCUGGUCCUGGUCUAGUUAUAUCCUCCCUAUAGACCCUAACUAUAACUCUGGUCCUGGUCUAGUUAUAUUCUCCCUAUAGGCCCUAACUAUAACUCUGGUCCUGGUCUAGUUAUAUUCUCCCUAUAGACCCUAACUAUAACUCUGGUCUAGUUAUAUUCUCCCUAUAGGCCCUAACUAUAACUCUGGUCUAAUUAUAUCCUCCCUAUAGACCCUAACUAUAACUCUGGUCCUGGUCUAGUUAUAUCCUCCCUAUAGGCCCUAACUAUAACUCUGGUCCUGGUCUAGUUAGGUUCUCCCUAUAGGCCCUAACUUUAACUCUGGUCAAGUUAUAUUCUCCCUAUAGGCCCUAACUAUAACUCUGGUCCUGGUCUAGUUAUAUCCUCCCUGUAGGCCCUAACUAUAACUCUGGUCCUGGUCUAGUUAUAUUCUCCCUAUUGGCCCUAACUAUAACUCUGGUCUAGUUAUAUUCUCCCUAUAGGCCCUAACUAUAACUCUGGUCUAGUUAUAUCCUCGCUAUAGACCCUAACUAUAACUCUGGUCUAGUUAUAUUCUCCCUAUAGACCCUAACUAUAACUCUGGUCUAAUUAUAUCCUCCCUAUAGACCCUAACUAUAACUCUGGUCCUGGUCUAGUUAUAUCCUCCCUAUAGGCCCUAACUAUAACUCUGGUCCUGGUCUAGUUAGGUUCUCCCUAUAGGCCCUAACUUUAACUCUGGUCCUGGUCUAGUUAUAUUCUCCCUAUUGGCCAUAACUAUAACUCUGGUCUAGUUUUAUUCUCCCUAUAGGCCCUAACUAUAACUCUGGACAUGGUCUAGUUAUAUUCAUCCCAAUAGGCCCUAACUAUAACUCUGGUCUUGGUCAAGUUAUAUUCUCCCUAUAGGCCCUAACUAUAACUCUGGUCCUGGUCUAGUUAUAUUCUCCCUAUAGACCCUAACUAUAACUCUGGUCUAGUUAUAUUCUCCCUAUAGGCCCUAACUAUAACUCUGGUCCUGGUCUAGUUAUAUU
RNAcentral lists this long non-coding RNA (1242 nucleotides) under Salmo salar (Atlantic salmon). RNAcentral describes it as "lncRNA (ENSSSAG00000112934.1)". The record is from RNAcentral. Lineage: Eukaryota; Metazoa; Chordata; Actinopteri; Salmoniformes; Salmonidae.